RNAcentral lists this long non-coding RNA (3755 nucleotides) under Androctonus crassicauda. Lineage: Eukaryota; Metazoa; Arthropoda; Arachnida; Scorpiones; Buthidae. The record is from RNAcentral.
AAGAAUUUAGAGAGAGAGAAAGGGCCAUAGCGGCCCACGAAAGACAAACCAGGAUAGAGAGGUAAGUUGAUCGUUAUUAAAUAGCGUAACUUUAGAUUUUUCUCUCUUGAAAGCAUCCUUUGUGUUUCUAGCAUCGGGUGAGACUUUGGAAGUCUUUGUAAAUAAAGUGUGAUAGAUGACUUCGUAUAUAUAAGAUCAGUGGAUAAGGUUAUUGUUACACUUAAAAACUGCCCUUUGGCUCAUUGUUCGCUUGCCAAAGUUCGAUAACGAAAACACUAUCGUCAAUAGUUUCGAGCUGUUUACAACAUAAAGAAAAAUGCCCAACAAAUAAUUUCUAAUAGGCUCUAACAAUACCGCCUAGUUUAAUUUUCAUUAUAUUCUCGUCCGUUCUCCGAAGAAUUACCUAACCAUUCUAACUACUAUUUAAUCGCAAUUAGUCAAAAAUUCGAUAAAAAUCUGAAAAAUGACAGGAUUUAGUGUCGAAAUCUUUCAAAUAUUCCGAAUAUCGCGAGGAUAUUCAACUAACAAACAUCGGAUUUUCCAGUGGAUUGAUAUGUUUAAUUAUAUUGGCUAAAAUAAAUCCAUUUAUCGACAUAAAGCCGCUGUUAACAGCUAAAUGCUCGAAAGUUCCGAAAGCUCAAAGGUGGAUCUUCAUCCAGAUUAUCUAAUUGUGAAAUUUAGGCGAAAUUCUUCCAUCCGUAACAUAAAUUCACUCUUGGUUCGUCAUGGUGACGUAACUUUAUGCUCUUGUACAUUAUCGGGUCAGAGAUUUGUGUAUAGAUUCGCCCUUCCUUAUUUCAGCAUGUUUCUAAAUUAUAUUUGAUGGCGUUGCGAAACUGUUUGAAUACAGAUAAUUCUGUAAUCUUUCUCCGUUAUCUCGGUCCGAAGUGCGAGUGUCGGACAUCUGGAAGGUUACCACUCUAUUUUCAAGUGGUGAGUCAUUGCCGCUCUAGAUGGACGCUUAAUUACCAUAAGUAGCAUUAAACUUGAUAAAUGAACUUUACUCCCGUCGUAAAUCACAGGUUGUCGACCUUAUAUAGAUUUUUUUGCUGUUUUUUUUUUCAUUUCGAUGGUAGACAUGAGCGUUUAGAAAUUGGAAAGCGAAAAGUCGAAAACAUCAAUCAAGAAAAGGGCAUCCUGCUAGGCGACAUUACAGUGUCAUUGGUUAGCUCAGCACGACCUGCCACUGUCCUCCAAGAAAUUCUAUUUCGAUAAAUAAAGGAAGGCUUUUGUUUGGAAGAAGCGCUGUUUUUCCUCUUCAAUGCCAACUCGUUAAAGCAAACAGACACCCGAAACACACUUGGACAAUGCUUCGUUAGGGGAUCUUGUCAUAGGCACAAUGGACAGUCGACCAGAGCAAAGACAGGAACAGAUACCAAAUAGUUUACCAGUUUGGCAAAAGAUGAAAAGAUGGAGAUGUGGUCUUUUAAUUAGGCAAAAUCCGAAAUGAAUAAAAAUUAGUGCGGAAAAAAAAAUUCUAAGAAUCCUAUAACUAAAAACAAAAUAGUAACACGGAACACCGUACUAAAAUGCCCCAUCACUGCAAUAAGAAAACUGCGAAAGAACCUAUAAACAGGUGAUGAAAACAUGAAUAAAAAACGCGACGAAGCAAAAAACUAAACAAUGCAAUAAGCAUAGCGGCGUAGAAGAUUCACACAACUGCCAACCAAUUAUCCGUUCUUCUGAGAAAGGUCAUUUCGCCAUCGAGUUGAUAAAGACAUCCUCCCGUUUGCCAAGAGCUACACACAACACACACACACAUACCAUUUUUUCCUUCUGUCGUAACUGGUUAUUCAGUAGUUAUUUUUAAGAGAUCGAAACUCGUUUUAAUGAUUUUAAUAGUCGCAACACUCACUGUACUGUCCCGGUUGUCCACUGGUUAAAGAAUUUUUCCCGGUUGAAAACCGGUUGUAACGCCGUGUUUCUGUUUCCCCCGUGUUUCUAACCUCUGAACCUCUCUCUCCCCCUCAUUCUCCUCUUCCAGCAGCAUUCGAGAUAAAUAAGAAUCAUUAAAAUUAAACGGCGAUAUUUCGUGACAUUGAUAACGAGAAUUGUUUAAGAUAUUAAGUGACUCAGCAGGAAGGAAAGAAAAAAAAAAAAAAACACGAGAAUGACAGUAAUAAAAAUCGAACAGGAAAGUCGUUUUUUUUUUAUAAAGAAUUAAACCUAAUUCUGUAAUAUCCUACAUUAUUAUUUUUUUCUUGUUACUAUACGCAUAACUACCAUAACAUCGUGUUGCAGUAUCGUCCUUGCAAUCUCUUAAAACUUUGAUAUUCCUCUUGCUAGGUUUUGGCCGUGCGGGAUCAAAAUUCAUUAUUGAACAUGCGUUUGUGCUUAGCUCUCGGCAGUGGUUAGAAACGAAAUAAAUUAUAAAUUCGAAAGUUAUUCCGUAAUCAUAUUUUAGAGAGCACUGAACACAAUUAAAACCCUCGUUUAUCUCUAGAAAAGCAUAAAAUUUGGUUGUAAUCACUCAAACUCGCUGCACACAGAAACAAAAUUGCUGUAGUGUAUAGUAAUCCCAUUUUGCGGCUCUAUUCUCGUUUGAAAUUCCGUUAAUAAGCAAAUUUACGGACUGCAAACAUUUUCGAAUGCACUAAAAGAGGAGGAUUUUUAGAACCGAAAGCGAUAGAAAACUAUGAUAAGUCAGUCGCUCUUAUACCGUGUUAAAUACCAGACUAUCAUUAGCGUGGGAUCGAUACGAUGUCAAAAUUGCUUAUAGUGGAUAUAUAGGACCGUUUGCUUCGUCAGCUUUUGUCUCGAGGUAGUCGUUUUAUAACAGGAAAUAUCUCCCAACUACUUUCAGUUAACCGGAGACGUUUGCCAGUUUUCUUAACGACCCUCUUGCGAAAGAACAAGUCCACCGUUUGCCAUCCAAGUUUGAUGACACAGCCGAAAGAAAAUUGGCACGCCCGAGACGAAAAUAACAUUCGGUCGACAGGAAUUUUGGCAGGUAUCGUCCUCUCUACCAGCUCGAAAUUUUUGUAUUAUACCGGACAAAAGAAAAACUGAUCGAAAUCGGUCAUUGUCGCAUUUCCAACUAAACUCUUCCUCCCAUCUGGCAUUCUGCCCAAAUCUCAUUCUAGCCGGCAUCUUUGUUCUAAAAAGAAAAAAUGGUUUUUGUUGUAAUUGUCGUCACGAAAAUAAAAUCGAAGAAGAAUUUACAACUUAUACCGUGUUACACCCUUGUUUAUAUAUAUUAAUAAUUUUUGUUUCUUUACUACUACUGUGCAUAGAUUAACUUGUUGAACUCAAUAAAAAAAAAAAAAACCCUCCAAAAAACAAGAGAGCACUGAGCUCCUCACUUUUAUUAAGUUGAUUUGAUUACAUUAUCUUAUAAAAUGAUAAGAACCUAGGUAUUAUAGUUAAAAUAUUAUCAUAAAGUAUAUCUAGAAUUCUUUGUUCUGCCACUCUUCAAUAAAAACAAAGGAGUUUGCUCAAUUAAGCCAAUUCUGUUAUCAGUAGAAAAAGAAAAAAAAAGAAGAAUAUGUCUAGAAAUUAAGCAAGAGAUAUAAUUUGGCCUCAAAAUUCUUAUAACAAAUUUAGAAAUACAGUAUGUAGUCGGUAUUAGGUUACUUUUUUCCUUAAUGAUAAAAUGAAACCUAUCAGCUUAAAAAUAUAAAAACCGAUAAGAUAACAACAGAUGAAAUAACAUAAAGAUCUGCAUUGGAUCCUCUAAAUAUAAAAUUAAAAACAGAAUGUACUGGAUUAUUAUGUAUUCGCCAAAUUUAUCCGUUAAGAAAAACGAAACGUUCGAC